RNAcentral lists this ribosomal RNA (390 nucleotides) under uncultured Pelotomaculum sp. RNAcentral describes it as "bacterial SSU rRNA". It matches the Rfam family "Bacterial small subunit ribosomal RNA", at positions 992 to 1382 of the family's 1533-position model. The record is from RNAcentral. Lineage: Bacteria; Bacillati; Bacillota; Clostridia; Eubacteriales; Desulfotomaculaceae.
UGACCGCGUAUGAAAGUACGUUUUCACCUCGGGUGACAGGGAGACAGGUGGUGCAUGGUUGUCGUCAGCUCGUGUCGUGAGAUGUUGGGUUAAGUCCCGCAACGAGCGCAACCCCUACGUUUAGUUGCUAACGCGUGAAGGCGAGCACUCUAGACGAACUGCCGUUGACAAAACGGAGGAAGUGGGAUGACGUCAAAUCAUCAUGCCCCUUAUGUUCUGGGCUACACACGUGCUACAAUGGCCGGUACAGACGGACGCAAAGCCGCGAGGUGGAGCAAAUCCUAAAAAGCCGGUCUCAGUUCGGAUUGCAGGCUGCAAUUCGCCUGCAUGAAGUCGGAAUCGCUAGUAAUCGCAGGUCAGCAUACUGCGGUGAAUACGUUCCCGGGCCUU